GCCAAACAAGCCCUAAUAUACGAACUAGUGCCAUCUCCUAGCCCUAAUAUCAUUCGCGAAUUGCAAUUCGCAGACGACUCGGUCCUCUGUCCUCAUCUCCACAACUCCACCAGGACCACCGGUCCGCCACUGUCCUCCUCUGGCCUCUGCGUGCCGAGUUGCCGCCGAGAUCCGCCCUUGGUACGAGUGGAACCCUCGAUUUCAAAAGCCUUCAUUGAUUUCUAAGGCCUUCAGUUCAUCAUUAAGACCUAGCUAAAGUGCACACGCACUCCUUACCAUUUAUAAUCGAGGGAGGAGGGAGUGGGAGGCAAUAAAAACCCUAAAAGGCCUCUUCUACGCGAAGCACAGAGCGUCUCUUUUGCAACGUUGAGAGCCCUCAGGUAGAGAGUCUCUUACAUCUCCGGCGAAGGAGGAGGAAGGAAAUUAAAGAUGGAUGAUGUGGGAGUAUCAUUGCAUUUGGUUGCUAGUUUUGGUGGUGCUUUUCGAACUGUGUCUGUAACUCACUAGAGGCUCGGGAAACAAAGAGAAGAUGUGAUAUUGUGCUGCAAUUUAUGAAAUCAAAUUUGUUGUAGUAGGAGGAAAAAUUGGUUCUAAAAUUGCAAGAGUUAGUCCUCUGCAGAAAGCGUUUCGUUGCUUAGAUGAAGAAAGAGUAUAUUCACUGGUUGGUUGUGAUUUCACAGGAUUGAAAAUGGUCUUGAUGGCUUCAUAUUGGGAUCUGCAUGACAGGUUUUUGCAGUUUGAACCCAUUUGUUUCAAUACAAAUACCAAAAAGGGUUUCGUAUUGCCGUUGCCAGAAGCAGAAAAACCUUGUCCCCUAGUGAUGGCUGACCCUGAUUAUGGUUUUUUUGUGCUUGCUGGGGCUACUUUGUAUUCGUCCUAUGAAAUACGCUCUCCAUGUUUCGAACGUUUAGAUCCUUUGGAUGGAUGGCAUGAUUCGGAUUAUAAUGAUUGUUCCCUACCUGAGUAUCCUUUGGACAGAAAAUUACCCAGAAUUAUCUCUGUUUAUGCAGUCAUCCAGUACUGUAUUCUCAUUUUAGUCCAUGAUUUUCUUCAUGGUAACUCAGAAUUCUAUUAUUACAGAAUCGGGAGUGAAAUGAAGAACUGGCAGGUCAUCAAGAAGGAAAAGGAGAAUGGGUUAUAUUACCCGAUCUUUGGAAAGGCUGAAUAUGUUGAUGGUUAUUUAUAGACUUUCGGCCGUAAUUAUAACUUGAUUGCAUAUCAAGUCGUUGAGAAUGAUGGUAUCAUUCAAUCUAUUGGUGUUCCAGUGUAUUUUAGAGGACUGGACUUUAAAGAUCUACCAGUGGAUUGUGAUCCCACAUUCUCCGGUUGCUUUGUUCAUUUGGGAAACAAAAGAUUUUGUAUAAUGAAGACUGGUUUCAAUGUUGACCCCUCCUACUUUCAAUAUGUUUCCAUCUUGAUCAUCCAAGUUUCUGAUGACAUGCACCUUUCAACGAUGUGGUCAGCUCUCUGCGCCUUGAAUAUAGAGAACCUCGCCCCGGCAAAUUUAACAUCACUUUUUUUGGACUCCCAGUCGUGGAUCCUAUUUAGUACUCUCUUGUAGCCGGGUACAUAAGGGCGUAUAGUGUUUGGAGUUACGGAUGGCAAAGAGGCGGAUUCGGUACGGGUUUGAGUGAACCUUACCUCACCCUUUUAAGAAAUCCUUCAUACCAUAUCCGUUAAGAACCAAGGACAGGUUGUUGGUAAGAAUACCAUCCCCGCCCUGUUCUGUUAAAACGCCCAAAAUUUUCUAAACCAGAUGAUACAUUUAGCAAUCCACCAUCAAUGCAAUGACAAACAUCAAAUCGAUUUGCUAAUCACAAAACGCACAAGAUCUAUGCCUUUUAGUCACCAAAACUGGAAUAUUUCUUACUAAAAAAGCUUGGAGAAAAGUUCAAUAUGAAGAUUUACGUUUAUGGCAAUAUAAAGAAUUAUAUAUAUAUGUUGAAGCGAAAUUCUGCACAACAUGAAGAUUUACGUUUAUGGCAAUAUAAAGAAUUAUAUAUAUAUGUUGAAGCGAAAUUCUGCACAACCCGGAUUAGCACUGCUUCCUGCAAAAGAAAAGGGAUGGUGACUGAGGCCUGACACUGGCCGGGUGCCGGCCGGGUACCCUCAGACGACCAAGUCAGUUUUGUGAGUUUGUAUGUAAAAGAAAAUAAAUUCUAUAUUUAAUUUCUCGUACCUUUCAAGUGGAUCGAUCACCUUCUUAUAAGAGAAGGUAAACGUCGUGGCGCAUCAUAAUGCCGAGCUAUAACUUUUGGUGAUUCAAGAGAGAUCUUUUGGGAGGGGAUUACAUUAUCCCUAUCUAAUUUGAAUUUGAAUUGCGUGCUCAUUUAAACAGUUUGUUAUCUUUUGUUUGUUAUAUUUAUCCUUAUCAAUAUAUAUAUAUAUAAACAUAGAGAGAACUAGAAAAAAAAAAAAGAAAAAGAAAAAAAAAACAGAGAGAAAGAGAAGAAGGAAUUUGAAUGCAAACCUAAGCUGCGAAAAUUAUGAAUCAAUUACUUGUGUUAUUAGGAGCUUCAAUGGUGAUUUUAGAGAAAGAAAGGGGGAAACACCAAACACGUUCUCUCUAGGGCUCUAUCGCGUUCGGCGCAGCCGGUGGUCUAAGGAGAAAUCAACUAAAGACAAAAGACAAGACCUUGACAUACUGGAGUGCUAUAAUAGAAUUGGUAAAUAUGUAUUUAUAAAUCUAAACCCGCCUCGUUCGGGGUUUAAAAACAAAAUACCAUCUCCACCCCUACUCCUAAACGAGGCUUACCGAAAUCCGUCCUAUUAGGGGCGGGCAGGGCAGAAACCCCCCGGGCCGGAGGAAAUUGCCACUCCUAUUUGGUGUGGGUUAGAGUGAGACAUUGAAAGUCGUAGGAAAAAGAGUGAGCGAGAGAAUUUUGGGGUUGAAUCUUGUAAUUUUCUGAUUUUCCUAUAGUGAAAUCUUUCGAGGCGUAAUUUGUGCCGAACCACAUAAAUCCUUAUGUUUUUUGUGAGUGACGUGCUUACUUUUAUAUCGUGAUUCGUGUUUUGUUCUUGGUUCGUUCCGUUUGUCGUAACAAUUGCCGUUUAUCUGGUGUGUUCUCAUUUAUGCAUCAUACGUAUUGCUUCUGGAACACUAAUGAACAUGACAUUUUUAUUUGAGGCAUAUGGAUCUAUAUAAUUGAGUAAUACGUGUAUACAAUUUAUGCCUGUUCUACAUUUGUGAGCCAUUAAGUAAUAAAAUCUCUUAGAUACACUUCCCUUUUCCUACAUUUUGUUUCUUAGGGCCAGUUUGGAUUGGCUUUUUGAAAGCCGCUUUUGGCUUUUAGGACUCAAAAGCAAUUUCUUGCCCCGUUUGGAUUACAAUGUGGAAGAGCUUCAAGCCUGUGGAAGAGCGUUUGACUGAAGCUGGGGGAGGGUAGCUUUCCCAAAACGCUCUUCCUGAUGGACACGGGAAGCCGUCUUUUGUUUUAAUUAAAUUUUUAUAAUUCCCAUAAUACCCUAUGUUUUAUAUGUAAAAUAUUGUUUGUUCCCAACGUAUCCCAAAUAAAUAUUCCUACCAUUUGGCUACUCUUGUCUUCUAGGGUUUCUGCUCACAUUCAACUCUUUCCUUCUGACGACUGCAGCAAUACUAUAUGAUAUAGACCACUCGGCAGCCUGCAACAGGAACAAAAAACCAUCUUAUAUUCAAGGCCUGUGAUUUUUUUUCCUUGAGUUGUGUUUGUUCUUCAAUUUUGGGUAUGAACAACUAAAGAAAUACAAUAGUAUCGGUUUGUGAUAUUUUCCCAAUGAUUUGUACCAGAAACAAAUAUGGCGGUUUAAUGGUCUAAAAUUUCUGUUAUUCUUUGUUGAUGCAAUGACUUCCGAAGUCAAAGCUAUUAGUGUGGAGAGAAAAGGGGAAUUGCCGCUCAUUAAUUUCCAUUGUCUUUGGAGCAAAGGCUAGCAGUUUUUUUUUAUCCGUCAAGUAUAGUAUAUCGGAUUAUUCUCUUUGGAGACGGUUUUUCCUAACAAAUUGAUGUAAUUUAAGCCCAGUUUCCUUACUUGUUGAUGCUGAAAUCACAAAUUAUUCAUCUUUCAUGAGAAGUUUCAAUUUUUUUGUUAUUUUUUUUUGUCCAUUUUUCAUUCCACCAAGUUUUUACAUGAUACUUAUUCUAGAUGGAGCAUUCAUUGGGUUUCAAUUUCUUCUUCUUCAUUUUUUCCCCUCAUUAUAUUUAAUUUUACCUACUUUUAGAUGCUGUGCUUGUUAUUUGUUGGGUUUUGGAAUGACAGAUUUUCUUUAUGAUGAAGUAUUUGUUUAGUGAAAUACCAAUAAUAUGAUGGGGUGGGUUUUUUUUUUUCCUUCACUUUUUAGUACUAUUCCUUCCAUUGUUCAUUCUAUUGUUCUAAAUUAUGUGAAGUUCCAUGAAUUAAGAUGGUGAGGUUGCAUGUUCCGUUGACUUUCUAAUAUGGAAUUGUGAACUAGGGAAAUUUAGUAUGGAUGGAUUACAAUUUUUGGGUCUGGAAAAGUGAAAGCAAACCUUCCAUGUGCUGAUGACACACUAUAAUUUUUGGAAUAUAAAGAAGAUUACCUUGUUAAUAGAGUUUACCAAUUUGGAAGAUUGUGAUUCAACGAUGACAUAUUUUGCUACUUCAAUAGCUUUGUAAAUUGUAUAUAUUGUUAGUUAGUGGUACAUGAAAAGUUUUAGAGUAUAUUUACUUUCUAUAAAAUUUCACAGUACGUUAAAGACCAAAAAAAAAAAAAAAAUAUUAUCAACUGAUUUUUGAGGCCUUUAUUUACUUAUAUGAAAUGUAGGUGAAGAAAUGCUUCCCCUUGCGCGCACAUUUAAAUUUCAUGAAUUGAUAUAAUGAUAAAACAAAAUAAAAAUAUAAUAGCCA
Cornus florida is the source of this 4839-nucleotide long non-coding RNA. RefSeq lists it as uncharacterized. The transcript has 3 exons. The record is from RefSeq and is a predicted model, not a curated record. NCBI's taxonomy places the organism in Eukaryota, Viridiplantae, Streptophyta, Magnoliopsida, Cornales, Cornaceae.